Molecule: ribosomal RNA, 253 nt
Filed under: uncultured bacterium
Lineage: Bacteria
Description: partial 16S ribosomal RNA
Rfam family: Bacterial small subunit ribosomal RNA
Source: RNAcentral
UACGUAGGGGGCGAGCGUUGUCCGGAUUUAUUGGGCGUAAAGAGCGUGUAGGCGGCCAGGUAGGUCUGCUGUGAAAACUCGAGGCUCAACCUCGAGACGUCGGCGGAAACCAUCUGGCUAGAGUCCGGAAGAGGAGAGUGGAAUUCCUGGUGUAGCGGUGAAAUGCGCAGAUAUCGGGAGGAACACCAGUAGCGAAGGCGGCUCGCUGGGCCACACCUGACGCUGAGACGCGAAAGCUAGGGGAGCGAACAGG